RNAcentral lists this ribosomal RNA (429 nucleotides) under Gemmatimonadota bacterium. RNAcentral's name for it is "Gemmatimonadetes bacterium partial 16S ribosomal RNA". It matches the Rfam family "Bacterial small subunit ribosomal RNA", at positions 355 to 776 of the family's 1533-position model. Lineage: Bacteria; Pseudomonadati; Gemmatimonadota. The record is from RNAcentral.
UAGGGAAUCUUCGGCAAUGGACGAAAGUCUGACCGAGCAACGCCGCGUGAGUGAAGAAGGUUUUCGGAUCGUAAAACUCUGUUGUUAGAGAAGAACAAGGACGUUAGUAACUGAACGUCCCCUGACGGUAUCUAACCAGAAAGCCACGGCUAACUACGUGCCAGCAGCCGCGGUAAUACGUAGGUGGCAAGCGUUGUCCGGAUUUAUUGGGCGUAAAGCGAGCGCAGGCGGUUUCUUAAGUCUGAUGUGAAAGCCCCCGGCUCAACCGGGGAGGGUCAUUGGAAGCUGGGAGACUUGAGUGCAGAAGAGGGGAGUGGAAUUCCAUGUGUAGCGGUGAAAUGCGUAGAUAUAUGGAGGAACACCAGUGGCGAAGGCGGCUCUCUGGUCUGUAACUGACGCUGAGGCUCGAAAGCGUGGGGAGCAAACAGG